Molecule: long non-coding RNA, 1166 nt
Filed under: Sarcophilus harrisii (Tasmanian devil)
Lineage: Eukaryota; Metazoa; Chordata; Mammalia; Dasyuromorphia; Dasyuridae
Description: lncRNA (ENSSHAG00000027725.1)
Source: RNAcentral
AUGCCUGGGACAAGGAAGUGGAAGAUUACAUGACCUAAGAUACCUACCUUGAAAAGAAUUUUAGUUAUAAAUUGGGAGUGUGGAGUGAUAAGGAGCAGAGCAUUUUAGGAACAGCUGGUUAGGGAUUCUCUUAUUAAAAUGGGUAUCUUGGAAGAAUUAUCAUUAUGAUUAGGUCAGUGGUACCAUCUUAGAAUUUCUCUAGAUCUUUUUUAAGGCCUUCAGGAGGAAAUUAUAGUGAGAGACUAGGGUUAAAGGACUAAGGGAAUGAACCAGGUAUUGGUCCUGGUAUUUUCUUUUAAAUGACUGACAGAAUUAGUCUCUCUCUACUCAAUACCCCAUUCAGAGGCCUUCUCCAAAGUCCUGUCUGUGUGGCUCUGGCCCUGGGGUGUUGAUAUGUGAAGAGACUCAGAACAUAUGGCAUAAACAUCAACUGAUAUUGUUGGCCAUUUACACUGGGCAUGUGUCAUGCAGCAAGAAUGGCUCUUGAAGACCAUGUGACUUUUCUUCCAGUCUUGGGUAUGUAGUGGAACUGGGUCGGUCUUUCUCUCUGUCUCUCUGUCUCUCUCUCUUUCCUCCUCCUCCUUUCCACUCCCAAACUUGUGACUUUGUAAGAGGAAGCUUGUAAAUAAUCGGCAUGCAGAAAGCUGGUAGAAUAUCAUUGGAAUUUCCUAGGGAGGCACAUUCGCAACACCCAAAAUGACCUGCGGCUCCCGUCCCUACAGGUCAGAGCUCAGUGCCUGGCACCCUGAUAUUUUUCAGAAAGAAGCUGAAAUGAAACAUUCUCAUUAUGGGCAGACAGAAUCCCAGAAUCUCAGAAGGAACCCUAGAGGCCAGCUAGUCUACAGUGAACAAGAACCUCUCCUUCCCCUCCCCCAGAAUACCCAGCAAGUUGUCAUCCAAGCUUUGUUUAAAGAAGAACUCCAGUGAAGGGAAAAUCUACAUUUAUUUUGUUUCUCUAAUAUUUUUAAAUUCAAUGUGAACAAAGACAUGUCUUAACUUGCAUGUGUUUGAGUUGUAAAGGGGGGGAAACAGAGAAAAGAUGCUUAAUUUGACUGAACCAAAUGAUUAGAAAGGUACUACCAAAGUUGGAUAAGAUUUGAAUGUUUGGAUUCCAGGAAGCCCAAUUCUACAGAGCAUGUUGAAUUUCUUAAAAUAUUUCAGUCACU